This 1222-nucleotide long non-coding RNA is filed under the name Anser brachyrhynchus (Pink-footed goose). RNAcentral describes it as "lncRNA (ENSABRG00000002250.1)". The record is from RNAcentral. Lineage: Eukaryota; Metazoa; Chordata; Aves; Anseriformes; Anatidae.
GUCCAAGCCGCCUUUUCAAACUUGUAAUAGAAUAUAUAACACCAAAUUAAGCCCGUAGUUCUGGCAUAAACCAGCAACAUCAGGACAAUAGUGCUUACCACAUAUUGCAAAAUAUAACUUUCCAUUCUUUGGACUAAUUAGAAAGGCAGCCAGUAGCACCAGUAUGGUUCUGUCAGCAUUUCCACAAUAAAACCCCCUUUUCAGGGCUUUAUAACCCGGCUGUAAAAAAUUAGCUUCAGGCUGCAGCUUGGCAUGCCUUGGUUCACCCCAGCAGCACGUCGAGCUGUACAUGUGGUUAUGUGUGUGGUUUGUUGAUUGUUUCCUAAAUACAAAUUUUCAUUUAAAUUAGUUUUGCUACUUCUUGGAAGACAGUAAUAAAAGGAACCAAUGUUUAAAUGAGUGCAGUUACAUUCUUUGGCAGUCUCUCGCAGCGAGUUAAUUGUUAAAAGUAUGAAUGUUUGAGGUGAGAAGCAUACAGCCUCGUGACACUUUUUUGUUUUAAAUUAAACCAUCUCAAGGAAAGUUUGAAAGCAGGUUUCUGCACUUGCACAUUGAUCUUAUUUCACAGAGCGUGAUCCUGACUCCAGGAGAGACAUCAUCCAGCAGCUUUGAUGGAAAGGGCCCCGCAAGAGCAGCUCAAAUGAGGGCGCAGCCUCACUGUGGUCUGUAGAAAUGCCUCAGUCCGGAUACCUGCUACCAUGCAGCUGGAAAUACUGUGGCAUGGAGAGAAAAGUGGAAGUGGAAAGGAGAUCAGAAAGGCUGGUUGCACACAACCUGACUGAACAGGAACCCAAAGUCUGCUGUCAGUGGCUUUGCUGAGAUCACAGGAGUAAUGGAAGACAAAAAUCAAACUACAUCCUGGCUGCACAGUGCUGGCUACUCGAGGAAAUGCAAGCAUCAGGCUGGAAUCGGAAGUGGCACAAGAGGUAACAGAACGGCGCUAUUAUUUACUAUCACCUCUAGCAAAAUGAGUUUUUCCGCCUUCUGUCGCUUGAAUACUCAGUGAGUACCAGGUCUCUUGGAAAUACCCGGCUGAUCCGAGCUGAAACUGGAAGGCUUUGACACGCUAGCAGAAAGCCACGCAUCGCUUUGCCUCAUUCUGGAACAGGCAUCUUUUAUCUUCCUGAACUUCGGGUACCCAGGCUCAGACCAAAGACGGCCCUCCCUCCCAGGUGCCUACCCAGAAAAUAAAUAAAUAAAUAAAUAAAUAAAUGAAAAGGAC